AAAGGAAUAGACGGGGGCCCGCACAAGCGGUGGAGCAUGUGGUUUAAUUCGACGCAACGCGAAGAACCUUACCAGCUUUUGACAUGUGCAUUUUGGAAUAGAGAGAUUUAUUUCUUCACUUCGGGUGGGUGCAACACAGGUGCUGCAUGGCUGUCGUCAGCUCGUGUCGUGAGAUGUUGGGUUAAGUCCCGUAACGAGCGCAACCCUUAUCGUCAGUUGCCAUCAUUUGGUUGGGCACUCUGACGAAACUGCCGGUGACAAGCCGGAGGAAGGAGGGGAUGAUGUCAAGUCCUCAUGGCCCUUACAGGCUGGGCUACACACGUGCUACAAUGGCGGCUACAACGGGUAGCGAUCCCGCGAGGGUGAGCGAAUCCUAUCAAAAGCCGUCUCAGUUCGGAUUGCACUCUGCAACUCGGGUGCAUGAAGUUGGAAUCGCUAGUAAUCGCGUAUCAGCGUGACGCGGUGAAUACGUUCCCGGGCCUUGUACACACCGCCCGU
This 498-nucleotide ribosomal RNA is filed under the name uncultured bacterium. Its description in RNAcentral is "bacterial SSU rRNA". It matches the Rfam family "Bacterial small subunit ribosomal RNA", at positions 903 to 1397 of the family's 1533-position model. The record is from RNAcentral.